This 800-nucleotide ribosomal RNA is filed under the name uncultured bacterium. Its description in RNAcentral is "bacterial SSU rRNA". It matches the Rfam family "Bacterial small subunit ribosomal RNA", at positions 8 to 815 of the family's 1533-position model. The record is from RNAcentral.
AGAGUUUGAUCAUGGCUCAGGAUAAACGCUGGCGGCGCACAUAAGACAUGCAAGUCGAACGAACUUAACUCAUUCUUUUAGUUUGAGAGCGGUUAGUGGCGGACUGGUGAGUAACACGUAAGCAACCUGCCUAUUAGAGGGGAAUAACAGUGAGAAAUCAUUGCUAAUACCGCAUAUGCUAACAGUAUCGCAUGAUACAGUUAGGAAAGGAGUAAUCCGCUAAUAGAUGGGCUUGCGUCUGAUUAGCUAGUUGGUGGGGCAACGGCCUACCAAGGCGACGAUCAGUAGCCGGACUGAGAGGUUGAACGGCCACAUUGGGACUGAGAUACGGCCCAGACUCCUACGGGAGGCAGCAGUCGGGAAUAUUGCGCAAUGGAGGAAACUCUGACGCAGUGACGCCGCGUAUAGGAAGAAGGUUUUCGGAUUGUAAACUAUUGUCGUUAGGGAAGAUACAAGACAGUACCUAAGGAGGAAGCCCCGGCUAACUAUGUGCCAGCAGCCGCGGUAAUACAUAGGGGGCAAGCGUUAUCCGGAAUUAUUGGGUGUAAAGGGUGCGUAGACGGAGGAGCAAGUUGGUUGUGAAAUCCCUCGGCUUAACUGAGGAACUGCAACCAAAACUACUUCCCUUGAGUGUCGGAGAGGAAAGUGGAAUUCCUAGUGUAGCGGUGAAAUGCGUAGAUAUUAGGAGGAACACCAGUGGCGAAGGCGACUUUCUGGACGAUAACUGACGUUGAGGCACGAAAGUGUGGGGAGCAAACAGGAUUAGAUACCCUGGUAGUCCACACUGUAAACGAUGGAUA